This 208-nucleotide non-coding RNA is filed under the name Sulfitobacter donghicola. RNAcentral also lists the same sequence under 1 other name. Lineage: Bacteria; Pseudomonadati; Pseudomonadota; Alphaproteobacteria; Rhodobacterales; Roseobacteraceae. The record is from RNAcentral.
GCAUAACUGACCGUGCUUGGUGUCCUUUUGGGGACCGAAAAAGGGAAUGCAGUAGGGAUCACGGUUUACCACCCCCGAUCUGCAGCCGCCCCCGCGACUGUAAGCGGUGAGCUGUUGUCACAACGCCACUUGCCCCCAAAAGGGCUGGGAAGGCAGACAAAGGCCACGACCCGCGAGCCAGGAGACCUGCCAGGCAAAGGUGAAACUA